This 45-nucleotide ribosomal RNA is filed under the name uncultured Craterellus. Its description in RNAcentral is "partial 28S ribosomal RNA". The record is from RNAcentral. Lineage: Eukaryota; Fungi; Basidiomycota; Agaricomycetes; Cantharellales; Hydnaceae.
AUGACCUCACAUCAGAUGAGACUACCCGCUGAACUUAAGCAUAUC